CUCUGGUUAAAUGUCGGGUGCCUAUGUCGGAGCUUUCCCGCCUUGCUGACCAGCGAACAAGUUUUGUGGAUUUCGCUAUGAGGGGGACGGAAGGCAGUACAGGUGAACACACAGAAGCCAUCGGGCUGCUUCAGAAACUGUGACUGAGCAUUAACCUACAUACAGAAAGGAGCCAAGCGGAGCUGUUUAUGGGUCACGCACACCGUUAUAUAAGAGGGCUUUCAGCACUUUUGACAAAUAUGUU
Long non-coding RNA from Rhipicephalus microplus (southern cattle tick), 244 nucleotides. RefSeq lists it as uncharacterized. The record is from RefSeq and is a predicted model, not a curated record. Lineage: Eukaryota; Metazoa; Arthropoda; Arachnida; Ixodida; Ixodidae.